Molecule: ribosomal RNA, 433 nt
Filed under: Sphingobium herbicidovorans
Lineage: Bacteria; Pseudomonadati; Pseudomonadota; Alphaproteobacteria; Sphingomonadales; Sphingobiaceae
Description: bacterial SSU rRNA
Rfam family: Bacterial small subunit ribosomal RNA
Source: RNAcentral
UGAUCCUGGCUCAGAACGAACGCUGGCGGCAUGCCUAAUACAUGCAAGUCGAACGAGAUCUUCGGAUCUAGUGGCGCACGGGUGCGUAACGCGUGGGAAUCUGCCCUUGGGUUCGGAAUAACAGUUGGAAACGACUGCUAAUACCGGAUGAUGACGUAAGUCCAAAGAUUUAUCGCCCAAGGAUGAGCCCGCGUAGGAUUAGCUAGUUGGUGAGGUAAAGGCUCACCAAGGCUACGAUCCUUAGCUGGUCUGAGAGGAUGAUCAGCCACACUGGGACUGAGACACGGCCCAGACUCCUACGGGAGGCAGCAGUAGGGAAUAUUGGACAAUGGGCGAAAGCCUGAUCCAGCAAUGCCGCGUGAGUGAUGAAGGCCUUAGGGUUGUAAAGCUCUUUUACCCGGGAUGAUAAUGACAGUACCGGGAGAAUAAGCCC